AACGAACGCUGGCGGCAUGCCUAACACAUGCAAGUCGAACGAACUCUUCGGAGUUAGUGGCGCACGGGUGCGUAACGCGUGGGAAUCUGCCCUUGGGUACGGAAUAACUCAGAGAAAUUUGUGCUAAUACCGUAUAAUGACUUCGGUCCAAAGAUUUAUCGCCCAAGGAUGAGCCCGCGUAAGAUUAGCUAGUUGGUGGGGUAAAAGCCUACCAAGGCGACGAUCUUUAGCUGGUCUGAGAGGAUGAUCAGCCACACUGGGACUGAGACACGGCCCAGACUCCUACGGGAGGCAGCAGUGGGGAAUAUUGGACAAUGGGCGAAAGCCUGAUCCAGCAAUGCCGCGUGAGUGAUGAAGGCCUUAGGGUUGUAAAGCUCUUUUACCCGGGAUGAUAAUGACAGUACCGGGAGAGUAAGCUCCGGCUAACUCCGUGCCAGCAGCCGCGGUAAU
Molecule: ribosomal RNA, 450 nt
Filed under: uncultured bacterium
Lineage: Bacteria
Description: bacterial SSU rRNA
Rfam family: Bacterial small subunit ribosomal RNA
Source: RNAcentral